This 253-nucleotide ribosomal RNA is filed under the name uncultured bacterium. RNAcentral's name for it is "partial 16S ribosomal RNA". It matches the Rfam family "Bacterial small subunit ribosomal RNA", at positions 524 to 776 of the family's 1533-position model. The record is from RNAcentral.
GACCGAGGAUGCAAGCGUUAUCCGGAAUGAUUGGGCGUAAAGCGUCUGUAGGUGGCUUUUUAAGUUCGCCGUCAAAUCCCAGGGCUCAACCCUGGACAGGUGGUGGAAACUACCAAGCUAGAGUACGGUAGGGGCAGAGGGAAUUUCCGGUGGAGCGAUGAAAUGCGUAGAGAUCGGAAGGAACACCCAAGGCGAAAGCACUCUGCUGGGCCGACACUGACACUGAGAGACGAAAGCUAGGGGAGCAAAUGGG